AUUGAACGCUGGCGGCAGGCCUAACACAUGCAAGUCGAACGGUAACAGGAAUCAGCUUGCUGAUUUGCUGACGAGUGGCGGACGGGUGAGUAAUGUCUGGGAAACUGCCUGAUGGAGGGGGAUAACUACUGGAAACGGUAGCUAAUACCGCAUAACGUCGCAAGACCAAAGAGGGGGACCUUCGGGCCUCUUGCCAUCGGAUGUGCCCAGAUGGGAUUAGCUAGUAGGUGGGGUAAAGGCUCACCUAGGCGACGAUCCCUAGCUGGUCUGAGAGGAUGACCAGCCGCACUGGAACUGAGACACGGUCCAGACCCCUACGGGAGGCAGCAGUGGGGAAUAUUGCACAAUGGGCGCAAGCCUGAUGCAGCCAUGCCGCGUGUAUGAAGAAGGCCUUCGGGUUGUAAAGUACUUUCAGCGGGGAGGAAGGGAGUAAAGUUAAUACCUUUGCUCAUUGACGUUACCCGCAGAAGAAGCACCGGCUAACUCCGUG
RNAcentral lists this ribosomal RNA (490 nucleotides) under uncultured bacterium. RNAcentral describes it as "partial 16S ribosomal RNA". It matches the Rfam family "Bacterial small subunit ribosomal RNA", at positions 30 to 507 of the family's 1533-position model. The record is from RNAcentral.